GACUCUCGGCAACGGAUAUCUCGGCUUCGCAUCGAUGAAGAACGUAGCGAAAUGCGAUACUUGGUGUGAAUUGCAGAUCCCGUGAACCAUCGAGUCUUUUGAACGCAAGUUGGCCCGAAGCCAUUAGGCCGAGGGCACGUCUGCUGGCGUCACG
RNAcentral lists this ribosomal RNA (154 nucleotides) under Nicotiana attenuata. Its description in RNAcentral is "rRNA 5_8S_rRNA". It matches the Rfam family "5.8S ribosomal RNA". Rfam says of the family: 5.8S ribosomal RNA (5.8S rRNA) is a component of the large subunit of the eukaryotic ribosome. It is transcribed by RNA polymerase I as part of the 45S precursor that also contains 18S and 28S rRNA. Functionally, it is thought that 5.8S rRNA may be involved in ribosome translocation. The record is from RNAcentral. Lineage: Eukaryota; Viridiplantae; Streptophyta; Magnoliopsida; Solanales; Solanaceae.